This 341-nucleotide long non-coding RNA is filed under the name Capsella rubella. Its description in RNAcentral is "long non-coding RNA (CRUB_LNC003352)". Lineage: Eukaryota; Viridiplantae; Streptophyta; Magnoliopsida; Brassicales; Brassicaceae. The record is from RNAcentral.
AUUAUCAAACUAAUAAAUAAGUGUAAAUACUUUUUAACGCAAUACGUUUUUAAAAUUAAAAUAAAUGUUAUAUACAUGUAUGUAAAAAAUUAUUUAAUUGGAUAUCUAUUCAUUCAGAGAUUUUUUUUUUUUGGGCAAACACAUUCAGAGAUAUUUUCAAUCACAUAAAUUUGUAUAUUAAUAAUAAGAGCAUACAUCUCCAUUAAGUAUUUUUACUGGCUUACUGUUUCCUCUCUAUAAUAGGCCAUCAAAUCAAUCAUGCAUGUAAGUAAGUAAACAAUAAAGAAAUAACCAUUGCAUAUUCACACGCUCCAACGGUAAACAAUUGGGAGAUCAUAUUG